AUCUUUGGGCUAGGUUAGUU
This 20-nucleotide microRNA is filed under the name Bos taurus (domestic cattle). RNAcentral describes it as "bta-miR-2891". Lineage: Eukaryota; Metazoa; Chordata; Mammalia; Artiodactyla; Bovidae. The record is from miRBase by way of RNAcentral.